GCCCUCGUUGCUGAAUCAUUGGCCAAUCAACCACUAUUUAACGACAUACUAAAAGUAGCACGAAUAUUCCCUGCUCAACAACCCCAAAAAGGCACAAGAGCGAUGAGACGGGCGAAACAAUGGCGGCCGCAUCGACAGCUUCCAAGCCCGAACAGGCACAAGAACCCGCUUCCUCCUUAAACCCCACCAUACCACCAGCUCAACAACGCCUUGCAUCUCCGUUUCUCUACCAAGGCCCACCGUCCCCAAACACCCUACCAGGCUCCAACUACUACAAUCUACCUCAGAACAGCGCCACGGUUAAACCUGCCUCAGCAGCCGCUGCGGCUCAUCCUAGCGUCCAACCCCCGCUUCUUCGCGAACAUUCAACCCAAACCACCCACACCCAAGGUAGAACUGCCGCUACCAUCAUCACCACUGCCACCACUCAACUCACCCCAGUCCAAGGCUCAAUCCCAAGCUCGCCGUUGAUGCGCCCAUCCCGGUUCCCGACACAGGGACAGGGGUCUGGAUUAAGUUAUGCAGGGGCUUAUGGUACAGGAAUGGGACUGGGAAAGGGGCUGGGCGACGGACUGGGUCAACACGCCCACGCUCGAGACAGUAAUUCCGGCGGCAAUGCAGAUGCGCUCUGGAAGCAAAUGCAAAUUACUCUCGCGGAGGUGGAGCUGAGUGCCAUGAGUGGGAACCAUGUUUUCGGCAGGCAGCACGCCCAAGCACUGCAGGAAUUGAGGGAUAAGCAGUUGUCGUUGGCACUGGCAUGGGCGCGGAGUGAGGCUGAUGAGGUUGUGGAGAAUCUGCCGGCUGAUGAGAGUGCAUCUAUCACUUCUGCUACUGUGGCUGGUGCUACUACAACUAGUAAGGGGGU
This 865-nucleotide small RNA is filed under the name Histoplasma ohiense. RNAcentral's name for it is "hypothetical lncRNA". Lineage: Eukaryota; Fungi; Ascomycota; Eurotiomycetes; Onygenales; Ajellomycetaceae. The record is from RNAcentral.